GACCACGUAGCUCAGUUGGCAGAGCAUUGGGCUAGUAUUCCAAAGGUCGUAGGUUCGAUUCCCACCGUGGUCA
Paramuricea clavata is the source of this 73-nucleotide non-coding RNA. NCBI's taxonomy places the organism in Eukaryota, Metazoa, Cnidaria, Anthozoa, Malacalcyonacea, Plexauridae. The record is from the annotation of a GenBank genome assembly.